Molecule: ribosomal RNA, 497 nt
Filed under: uncultured bacterium
Lineage: Bacteria
Description: partial 16S ribosomal RNA
Rfam family: Bacterial small subunit ribosomal RNA
Source: RNAcentral
GAUGAACGCUGGCGGCGUGCCUAAUACAUGCAAGUCGAGCGAACAGACGAGGAGCUUGCUCCUCUGACGUUAGCGGCGGACGGGUGAGUAACACGUGGAUAACCUACCUAUAAGACUGGGAUAACUUCGGGAAACCGGAGCUAAUACCGGAUAAUAUAUUGAACCGCAUGGUUCAAUAGUGAAAGACGGUUUUGCUGUCACUUAUAGAUGGAUCCGCGCCGCAUUAGCUAGUUGGUAAGGUAACGGCUUACCAAGGCAACGAUGCGUAGCCGACCUGAGAGGGUGAUCGGCCACACUGGAACUGAGACACGGUCCAGACUCCUACGGGAGGCAGCAGUAGGGAAUCUGCCGCAAAGGGCGAAAGCUUGACGGAGCAACGCCGCGUGAGUGAUGAAGGUCUUCGGAUCGUAAAACUCUGUUAUUAGGGAAGAACAAAUGUGUAAGUAACUAUGCACGUCUUGACGGUACCUAAUCAGAAAGCCACGGCUAACUACGUG